GGCCCUGUAACUGCUGUGUUUGGGGGUUAGCAGACACCCAGUCCUAGGAAAGAUGGGAAGAGUUGUGAUGGAGGGCACCACGAUGGCCUGGCCCAGGGAUCCCAGAAGCUUACUGGACCUUCAAAGACCCAUAGAGUCUCUUGUCCUUGCUGGGCCCAGCCAGGACCUCCCCCACCCCCCUUCCCGCCAGCCUGCCUGCCAGCAAGGCUGCAGACUGCAGCUGGAGACCCGGAUUGUUGUUGGAGAAGCGGUCGGUUUGUUUGCUCCAGAGCCUGCCGAGAAAUCUCAACAAUCAAUGGCCAACAACACUGCUGGCGGCUGCAGCAUCGAUCUCCCCUCCCAGGGCUGGCAGCUGGGUGGCAGGGGCGCCAAGACCAAGAUUCACUUGACUCCCAUCCUCGUGCUCUGUCCUGGUCUCCAAGUGUCAGAAAGAAUGUUUUAUUCGUUGCCGCUAAGAACUGAGCAAGACCUGAACCCCAAGCCUGAUCACAUUUCUGCCAGAUCCUUGGAGGGAAGGCUCUCCUUCUUCCUGGAAGAACAUUCUUCUGGACGGGCUCUUGUCGACUGAUCUUUAGUGGAGCUGUCUACUGCGGGUGACACCGCCCAGGACCUGCAGCCAGCCCGUGAGGUCCUCCUGCUUCUCCGCCGGCCUCCAGGAGCAACUUCCAAGCUGUGUCCCACACGUAGGGCUCUCCCUUGUCCCCGAGAGCCUGCAGCAAGGGGGAUGUCCUGGCUCCCAUAGUAACCCAGGCUUCAUCUCCUCGAAGGCAGGGGAUCAUGGCUCAUUCACCAGUGUUUCCUCGGGGGCUCAAUAAAUAUUCAUCGAAUCGAUAAUUAUGAUAAUAAUAACUCCAUUGAUUGAAUGCUUACUCUGUGCCAAAGCUGAGAAAGGCAGAUGCUUUUUUACCUAGGGUAGGACCCUUCUGCUUCUCUCUGAACUACAAGAGGCUUCCAGUGUUUCGUCUUAUUUUCUAGCCAGAAGCAGAGGUGGCGGCAGCUCUGCGAAGUAUCCUAAUCCCCACCUUACUGAGGAAACACACGCAGGAAGAACCAGCUGGUCCAGGCUAACAAGUGAAUGGUAUGCUCUAUCCCUCCACUUUCAGUCAUUUGGAAGUCCUCCUUGAGGUCUAACCUAAACCCUUUUUGUUGCAACAGCACCAAUCCCUUCUCUGUCCCGUGCAAACAUCCCCCAGUUGAGGAUCGCCUGCCCGCUCUUUGCAUGGGUUGGUCUGCAACGAAUAUUAAACACGAAACCUCACAGAGGCCAGCCUUGCAGGGCAGGCAAUGAACCAACCCUCCUCAUGCCUGUUCAUUAUUAUAAUUAAUAUUGAGCCGGGGUUGGUGGCGACCUCGCCCUCACCAGGUAUCUGGGCUAUUUUAGAAGCUUAUUCAGAUCAAUGACAGACAGCUCCAAAUAGAUAAACUCCCUGCCAUCCAGACGAAUCAAUUGUAACACUGCCGUCACAACAAGCCCAAGAAAUCAAUCUGAUUUCAGGCGACAUGGUAACUCAGCCCUGGGCAAGCGGGUUUUAAAUUCCGCGUGGCCAAGACGCAGCUUCCUCUGCGCACUGGAACACCCCGCACGUUCGCAGCCAGUGUUGCAGGCUCACAGGUGCCCAGGCAGGCCCGCAGAGGCCUCAGGCCAAGGGGGCGGUCCCACGGAGGGCAGGAUGACUGGGAGGUCAUGUGACCUUGAGGAAGGCUCUUGAACCCCCAGACCCAGGAGGAGCUGACUCAGACCCGCUGUUGGGAUCCUUGUUUUGCUGGCUUCAGCUCCGUUUUUUCUGCUGCCUUCUGCAAAAACCAAGCCUGGAGGACUUUCUGGGCUGUCUCACAAAUCAGGGAGCCGCAGAGGUGGUCUGCCUACCUCAGGCGGCAGGACAACUGCCCUUCUUGGUCUUGGAGAUGGGAUUUGUCCAUCUAGCGGGGCAGCAAAAAAGCUCAGCAGAGCAGAAACAGCCUUUUAUUGGGUGCUUACUUUAUGCCCAGGCACUAUGCUAAGUAUUUUAUACCCCAUCUUAACCCUCACAGCAGCCCAAAGAGAUAGGGAGCAAUUCUCCACAUUUUGUAGAAGAGGAAACCAAAGCUCAGAGAAGUUAAGCAACUCAUCCUGAGUCACACAGCCGGUAGGUGAUGGAGGCUGGAUUUGAACCCACAUCUGUUAGACUCCCUUCCCUAAGCCCUUAGCUACCGACGCUGUCUUAAAGAUGACACCAGACUUGCCCUCAUUCUCCCCCCUCCCUGGAUCCUGUCAGGUUAAAUGAAGUGAUUGCUUUUCCUCCAGGCUGCCAGGGAAGGGAGAUUCUCUCAGGCGUUCUCACAAUCAGCAAUUGUUCCUGAACUUUCACCCUGUGUUCUAGGUACUGAGUUGAGGGUGUUGAGGAGGCAGGAGGGUCAGGAGGCCAAGCUGGACAUCUUCCCACAUUUCAGCAUGGAUUCCCUUUCCCUCCCCCAGUCCUGUUAAUAUAUCUAGGUGGUGAUGGGUGGGGCCUGAGACAGGCAGCUGGGUGUUCUAAAUGGCCAAGGUCAGGGCUUUCCAAAUAUAUUCUAGCCAAGAAACUCUCUACUCGGAUGAUACCUUAUGAGGAAGACAAGGAUGCAAACAGAUGAAAAUGGAGCUGGUCAGCUGGCAAUAGGGACCUGGGAGCCCUCCUCCUCGACCCUUCUCUCGCCCCCCAUAGCAGCAGUCUGCUCCCCCACCCCCCCCACCCCUCGCCUUGCCCGCCUGUCCCAGCCUUCCAGCUGCUUCAGUUGAGCCCUGGGCCUGGCUGAUUUUCCAGCCCCAACACUGCCUUUCAGCCACAAGCUACCUUGAGCCUGCUCUGGAUUUAGAGCCUGGUAAUUUAGGUGCUAAGUGGGCAAAGACACCCCUGGCCCCAGGAAGGCCACAUAUCCAUCUCCUUCGGGGUUAGCCUUGGGCAUUGUGGGGAGGCAUAGAUCUGGGGACCAGAUGGCCCUGGAUUGUGAAGGGGGUCUUCUGUCUGUCCUGGGGAGCAAAGGGCCUGGGCUGGCCCUUGUGGGAGGUGGACGCCUUUUCAUCAAGCUCAGCCCCUGAUGUCCUCCCUGAGGAUGGCUGGGACGUCUGGAUUCUGCAGCCCAGCAAUGGAGAGUGACACACAAGACCACACGGCUAGCGGCCAGCGAGUGACAGGAGCAGACUCACACCCAGGCCCAUGUGGCUCCACAGGGGCCACGAUUGUCUGCAUUCUCUCUUCUCCAGACAGUGGUUGCCGCCCCGCCCCCCACUUUCUGCAUAAAAUCAUCAGCCCUUCCACCCACCAAAUAUGCAAUCUGGGGAGGAACUCAAAUCGUAGCAGGAGGGAAUGGGAUUAGAUACUGGAAGGACUUCCUGACUCAUGAGCUCGUGUUCUAGGACAGGAUAGGCGGCAGGCAGGGUGCUCUCUCCCAAGGGUUUUCAGGUAGGGUCCCAGUUCAUCUGUGCCCCUGCGGUUCCCACUUCCCGAAAGGUACUGAGAGUCAAGAAUGAUCUCUGCUGGGGGCGCCUGGGUGGCAGCGUUGUUAAGCGUCUGCCUACAGCUCAGGGCGUGAUCCUGG
Molecule: long non-coding RNA, 3555 nt
Organism: Ailuropoda melanoleuca (giant panda)
Lineage: Eukaryota; Metazoa; Chordata; Mammalia; Carnivora; Ursidae
Exons: 4
Source: RefSeq, a predicted model, not a curated record